UAUCCACAUGAAGAAUCUACUGAUCUUCAGGAUCAGGGUUCAUAUUUAUUUAUUCCUCUAGCACUAUUGAGCUACCUUCCGCAGCCAUUGAUUCCUCCUCAUCAAGGAUGGUGCAAUCAAGGAUGAAGUCCACCAAGACCUAAGCUUUAAUUGAAGGCCUUGGAUGGAGCUUUAAUUGAUGACCUGAGCUUUAUUCAGAUCAGUGA
Molecule: long non-coding RNA, 206 nt
Filed under: Elaeis guineensis (African oil palm)
Lineage: Eukaryota; Viridiplantae; Streptophyta; Magnoliopsida; Arecales; Arecaceae
Description: long non-coding RNA (EGUI_LNC027856)
Source: RNAcentral